UAUGGUCUUGAACUUGAUGAUUUUGUUUCUGGACCUCGUGAGUUGUUACUUAAAUUUGUAGAAGAGAAUUAUCCAUUGCCUGAAGAACCUGAACCACUUCCUGAUGAAAGUGUCAAAGAGCUUCAGCGAAAGAGACACUCUGCAACACCUGGUGUAUCAAUUAGAGGGAGAGUGAGAAAAGUUGCUAAAUGGCAAACGGGUGAUCAGAUGAGUGAUGAAGAAUCAGAUACUGAUUCUGAAUAUGAAUCUACCGAGUCCGAUGACGAUGAAUUUCAGAUCUGUGAUGUUUGUAGUUCGGAGGAGGAGAGGAAAAAAUUGCUCCAGUGUUCCUGUUGUAGCCAACUUAUACAUCCAGCAUGUUUAGUUCCACCUGUUACAGAGCCAGUUUCUGCGGAUUGGUGUUGCCACUCUUGCAAGGAAAAGACAGAUGAAUACAUACAAGCAAGACAUGCCUAUGUUGCGGAACUAUCAAAAAGGUAUGAAGGAGCUCUGGAGAGAAGGUCCAAGAUUUUGGAUAUAAUUCGUUCUUUGGAUCUUCCAAACAAUCCGUUGGAUGAUAUUAUCGACCAGCUUGGGGGCCCGGAGAAAGUGGCAGAAAUAACAGGGAGAAAAGGCAUGCUUGUGAGGGCCGCUAAUGGAAAAGGUGUCACCUAUCAGGCGCGAAAUACGAAGGAUGUAAGCAUGGAAAUGGUCAAUAUACAUGAGAAACAGCUCUUCAUGGAAGGGAAGAAGCUGGUAGCUAUAAUAUCUGAAGCUGGAUCAGCUGGUGUUUCUCUGCAAGCUGAUAGAAGGGCCUUAAACCAGAGAAGAAGGGUCCAUUUGACUCUGGAGUUACCUUGGAGUGCUGAUCGGGCAAUUCAGCAGUUUGGAAGAACUCAUCGCUCUAAUCAAGCUUCUGCACCCGAGUAUAAGCUACUAUUUACUAAUCUUGGCGGCGAACGGCGGUUUGCAUCCGUUGUUGCCAAGAGACUUGAAUCACUUGGGGCAUUGACUCAGGGAGAUCGUCGAGCUGGACCAUCUCUUAGUGCUUAUAACUACGAUAGUUCCUAUGGGAAAAGAGCCUUUGUGAUGUUGUAUAGAGGGAUCAUGGAGCAGGAUCCUUUUCCACUUGUACCACCAGGUUGUUCUGCUGAUAUACCGGAUGCUAUACAGGAUUUUAUUUUGAAGGGGAAAGCUGCACUUGUUUCUGUUGGAAUAAUAAGAGACUCGGUUCUAGGUAAUGGAAAGGAUUCUGGGAAGCUUUCUGGCCGUAUAGUUGAUUCAGACAUGCAUGAUGUCGG
RNAcentral lists this unclassified non-coding RNA (1280 nucleotides) under Hevea brasiliensis (rubber tree). The record is from RNAcentral. Lineage: Eukaryota; Viridiplantae; Streptophyta; Magnoliopsida; Malpighiales; Euphorbiaceae.